This is a non-coding RNA of Triticum urartu, 135 nucleotides long. Lineage: Eukaryota; Viridiplantae; Streptophyta; Magnoliopsida; Poales; Poaceae. The record is from Rfam.
GAUCUACUCCCUCUGUCCCAAAAUUCUUAUCUUAAAUUUGUCUACAUACGGAUGUAUCAAGUCACUUUUUAGUAUUAGGUACAUCCGUAUCUAGAAAGAUCUAAGACAUGAAUUUUGGGAUGGAGGGAGUACCUU